Molecule: ribosomal RNA, 492 nt
Filed under: uncultured bacterium
Lineage: Bacteria
Description: partial 16S ribosomal RNA
Rfam family: Bacterial small subunit ribosomal RNA
Source: RNAcentral
AGUGAACGCUGGCGGUAGGCCUAACACAUGCAAGUCGAACGGCAGCACAGUAAGAGCUUGCUCUUACGGGUGGCGAGUGGCGGACGGGUGAGGAAUACAUCGGAAUCUACUUUUUCGUGGGGGAUAACGUAGGGAAACUUACGCUAAUACCGCAUACGACCUACGGGUGAAAGCAGGGGAUCUUCGGACCUUGCGCGAUUGAAUGAGCCGAUGUCGGAUUAGCUAGUUGGCGGGGUAAAGGCCCAGCAAGGCGACGAUCCGUAGCUGGUCUGAGAGGAUGAUCAGCCGCAUUGGAACGGGGACACGGUCCAGACUCCUACGGGAGGCAGCAGUCGGGAAUAUUGGACAAUGGGCGCAAGCCUGAUCCAGCCAUACCGCGUGGGUGAAGAAGGCCUUCGGGUUGUAAAGCCCUUUUGUUGGGAAAGAAAAGCAGCAGGUUAAUACCCCGCUGUUCUGACGGUACCCAAAGAAGAAGCACCGGCUAACUUCGUG